Molecule: RNase P RNA, 416 nt
Filed under: Caldithrix sp.
Lineage: Bacteria; Pseudomonadati; Calditrichota; Calditrichia; Calditrichales; Calditrichaceae
Description: RNase P RNA component class A
Rfam family: Bacterial RNase P class A
About the family: Ribonuclease P (RNase P) is a ubiquitous endoribonuclease, found in archaea, bacteria and eukarya as well as chloroplasts and mitochondria. Its best characterised activity is the generation of mature 5'-ends of tRNAs by cleaving the 5'-leader elements of precursor-tRNAs.
Source: RNAcentral
CAAUCGAAUCGGGUAGUCGCUCUAACCUUUGUGUUGGGGAGGAAAGUCCGAACAUCAAAGAUCAGAAUUUUCUGAGAAAUCAGAAACUGCACUACGCAGAUGGAAAGUGUAACAGAAAGAAUACCAUCCCGAUUUAUCGGGAUAAGGGUGAAAUGGUGAGGUAAGAGCUCACCACUUCGUUCCGAUUGGAAUACCAUAUUUUGGUACUCAUAUGCGAAGGUAUGACAAACCCAAUUCGAUGCAAAACCAAGUAAAGAAGGAUUUCGUGCAGCGAAAGCGUAAUGAUCUUUUACGCGUUCCUUAGGGAACAUACUUCAGGGUAGGUUGCUUAAGUUAACCGGUAACGGUUAAUUAAGAUAAAUGACUACCACCCGAUUGACCGGGGACAGAAUUCGGCUUAUCGGUUCGUUUGGAUC